Molecule: ribosomal RNA, 1211 nt
Filed under: Amanita aff. spissacea 2C5
Lineage: Eukaryota; Fungi; Basidiomycota; Agaricomycetes; Agaricales; Amanitaceae
Description: eukaryotic LSU rRNA
Rfam family: Eukaryotic large subunit ribosomal RNA (bases 587-1211)
Source: RNAcentral
AGGAUCAUUACUGAAGGAAAAGAGUGGCAAGACUGUCGCUGGCUYGAAAGAGCAUGUGCACGUCUUCUGCUGCUUGAUUCAUUCUCUUUCCACCUGUGCACUUUUUGUAGACACUUGGGAAUUCAAAAAAGUUCUCUGGGUGUCUAUGUACUUUUUUGAUACACGCAUUUGAAUGUCUAUAGAAUGAGUUUGUAGGCUGUUUUUUUGAUGGCCUUUAAAUGAUAAAGUACAACUUUUCAACAACGGAUCUCUUGGCUCUCGCAUCGAUGAAGAACGCAGCGAAAUGCGAUAAGUAAUGUGAAUUGCAGAAUUCAGUGAAUCAUCGAAUCUUUGAACGCAUCUUGCGCUCCUUGGUAUUCCGAGGAGCAUGCCUGUUUGAGUGUCAUUAAGUAUCUCAAAAAAAUAUUAUGCCUUGGCAUAGGUUUUUUGGACAUUGGGAGUUGCCGGCUGCUAGCAGUGGGCUCUUCUGAAAAGCAUUAGUUGAGGAGCUUUGCACUCUAUUGGUGUGAUAGACUAUCUAUGCCAUGAGAUGCUUUAUGGGAACCUCUGCUGUCUAACUGUCUUUUAUCGGACAAUGUGAUGAACUUGACCUCAAAUCAGGUAGGACUACCCGCUGAACUUAAGCAUAUCAAUAAGCGGAGGAAAAGAAACUAACAAGGAUUCCCUUAGUAACUGCGAGUGAAGAGGGAAAAGCUCAAAUUUAAAAUCUGGCAGCAUUUUGCUGUCCGAGUUGUAACCUAGAGAAGUGUAACCUGUGCUGGACCGUGUAUAAGUUUCCUGGAAUGGAGCAUCACAGAGGGUGAGAAUCCCGUCUUUGACAUGGACUACCAGUGCAUUGUGGUUGUGCUCUCAACGAGUCGAGUUGUUUGGGAAUGCAGCUCUAAAUGGGUGGUAAAUUCCAUCUAAAGCUAAAUAUUGGCGAGAGACCGAUAGCGAACAAGUACCGUGAGGGAAAGAUGAAAAGAACUUUGGAAAGAGAGUUAAACAGUAUGUGAAAUUGUUGAAAGGGAAACGUUUGAAGUCAGUCGCGUUAGCUGGGGAUCAGCCUGACAUUGUUGGGUGCACUUCCUGGUUGACGGGCCAACAUCAGUUUUGACUGCCAGAAAAAGGCCAAGGGAAUGUGGCACCUUUGGGUGUGUUAUAGCCUUUGGUCAUAUAUGGUGGUUGGGACUGAGGAACGCAGUGUGCCGAAAGGCCGGGUUCGACCACGU